Lutra lutra (Eurasian river otter) is the source of this 114-nucleotide small nuclear RNA. RefSeq annotates it as U5 spliceosomal RNA. The record is from RefSeq and is a predicted model, not a curated record. The transcript has a single exon. Lineage: Eukaryota; Metazoa; Chordata; Mammalia; Carnivora; Mustelidae.
AUACUCUGGUUUCUCUUCAGAUCAUAUAAAUGUUUUGCCUUUUACUAAAGAUUUCUGUGGAAAGGAAUGACUUUGAGUCUUUUUUUUUUUUAAGAUUUUAUUUAUUUAUUCAAC